UGGGCAAUCUGCCCUUCACUCUGGGACAAGCCCUGGAAACGGGGUCUAAUACCGGAUAACACUCUGUCCCGCAUGGGACGGGGUUAAAAGCUCCGGCGGUGAAGGAUGAGCCCGCGGCCUAUCAGCUUGUUGGUGGGGUAAUGGCCUACCAAGGCGACGACGGGUAGCCGGUCUGAGAGGGCGACCGGCCACACUGGGACUGAGACACGGCCCAGACUCCUACGGGAGGCAG
This 232-nucleotide ribosomal RNA is filed under the name uncultured bacterium. Its description in RNAcentral is "partial 16S ribosomal RNA". It matches the Rfam family "Bacterial small subunit ribosomal RNA", at positions 118 to 351 of the family's 1533-position model. The record is from RNAcentral.